This is a long non-coding RNA of Dendronephthya gigantea, 346 nucleotides long. RefSeq lists it as uncharacterized. The transcript is spliced from 3 exons. Lineage: Eukaryota; Metazoa; Cnidaria; Anthozoa; Malacalcyonacea; Nephtheidae. The record is from RefSeq and is a predicted model, not a curated record.
AGAAUCAACAUGCAACAGUGGAUGAAGCCAUUCUUUCUCAUCUGUUUCUUUUCUUCUAUAUAUUCAGCUAUUUUGCCAAAAGAUUUGACAGAUUCGUGCACAAACGACGGUAAAAUAUGGACUGUGGAUGAUUGUAAGGAAUGUCGAUGCUGGAGAGGAAAGAUUUGGUGUAACGUUAUCACUUGUACAUGGUUUGAUGACGUAGGCUGCAGUAAUUAUCGUAAAGUUCCUGGAACCUGUUGCAACUAUGUCUGUUUAGAUAAUACGUCAGAUGCUACAGGAGAAGACGUAGUUUUUUCGAAUGAUCGAAAAUUGAAUGUAUAAUGAUUUAAUUGAUGCUCGUAGC